This is a long non-coding RNA of Zingiber officinale, 189 nucleotides long. RefSeq lists it as uncharacterized. NCBI's taxonomy places the organism in Eukaryota, Viridiplantae, Streptophyta, Magnoliopsida, Zingiberales, Zingiberaceae. The transcript is spliced from 3 exons. The record is from RefSeq and is a predicted model, not a curated record.
UUCCGUGUAUCUUAUGGGACUGCUGUGGAGAUGACAAACCGAGUGUACAAGCUUCCAUCAUUUUACAAUGUACUCGAAGGAGAAAUAUUUCUGCAAAACUUGCCCAGCAUUGUUACGGCUUGUGUUUUAGAUCCUCAAGAAGGUGAAAGAAUAUUGGACAUGUGUGCUGCUCCUGGAGGGAAAACAACU